Delphinapterus leucas (beluga whale) is the source of this 1197-nucleotide non-coding RNA. Lineage: Eukaryota; Metazoa; Chordata; Mammalia; Artiodactyla; Monodontidae. The record is from RefSeq and is a predicted model, not a curated record.
UAUUGUUAUCGUUAGACUGGGGGCCCCUUGAAAGGCAGAGAUUUGAAAGACUGGGAAGGAGGGAAAAUGAGAACACUGUGGUCAAGCUGCAUCCAGCCCUCGCUCUGCAGUUCUCACCAGCCUUUGGAAAAGAUCUGCCUUGUAAUCACUCCACCCCAUUUCUGCAAAACACCCGUGUGCAUGACUAACCCAUGCUAUGGCCCCAGUCUCAUCGUUCUGCAAAGAACUGAGAAUGUGAGCUCUGGAAUCAAACAGCCUGAGUUAGAAACUAUCUCUAGGACUUACGAGCUAUAUGACUUGGGCAAGCUGCCGUCUUUUGUGGAAAGCUGAGCUCGGGCCAGUUGACGGACUCUCAUCAGAGGCUUUUGUUUCUGACCUUAUGAAAGGCCUUGUGUUACACCUGGCUUUGCUGCGUUCCUGGUGGGCUUCCAGAAACAUGGGACCAGACAGCCCUGCCCAGCUUUUAUGGGAGUGGAACGGCUGGAUCAUACAAUAGAACAGAGAUCAGGCUGCAGAUCCACUCUGAGCCAAAGUGCCUCCUGAAGAGCUGCUGGGAAUGGAUCCUGUUCUCCCCCCAAGGGCACAGGGGGGUGAUGGAUGGGAAUGGAGAGUUCCGGAGGACUGCGUGGUGGAGGAAAGAAGAGAGGGCAGGUGUGGCUGGUUUGUAUCUCCCAGGCCCCACUGAGGUAAAGCUGUUCAGUGAAACUCUCACUUCCCAGAGAGGCCGAGUGAACUCGCAGGUGUCCCCGGUAAGGUGGGGUGGGAAACAAGGCUGACAGCACCUCAGACACGGGGGGCUUCUCCCAGUUAGCUGGUCCCCACUCAGCGGAGACAGAUGCUGAAAGACAGCCCCAGUGGACUGGGAAGGAGUGAAAGGAGACUUAGGAAAAUCCAAGCGCUUGCACACUUGUCAGCAAGGGGUGUGGGUGGGAAGCAAUCCAGACAUACAGUUGCUAAGCAUCUAUUAUGCCCCAGCUCUCAACUGGACAGCAUGGGUCAAGGGGGGAAAUGGAGACAUGGACCCACUAAUGUGGACCCACUAGGCAAGUCAGCUUCAUCUGAGGUACAAACUGCUACCAUUAAAACACAAAUAACCAUACCUAUUGGUCUGUGCUAAGGAUCAAAAGAGCAGAACAGUAAAAUAUGUCAGAGGGGCUUCCCUGGUGGCGCAGUGGUUGAGAGUCUGCCUGCCGAAGC